This 374-nucleotide ribosomal RNA is filed under the name uncultured organism. RNAcentral describes it as "partial 16S ribosomal RNA". It matches the Rfam family "Bacterial small subunit ribosomal RNA", at positions 527 to 896 of the family's 1533-position model. The record is from RNAcentral.
GUAGGUGGCAAGCGUUGUCAGGAAUUAUUGGGCGUAAAGCGCGCGCAGGCGGUUCUUUAAGUCUGAUGUGAAAGCCCACGGCUCAACCGUGGAGGGUCAUUGGAAACUGGAGAACUUGAGUACAGAAGAGGAAAGCGGAAUUCCACGUGUAGCGGUGAAAUGCGUAGAGAUGUGGAGGAACACCAGUGGCGAAGGCGGCUUUCUGGUCUGUAACUGACGCUGAGGCGCGAAAGCGUGGGGAGCAAACAGGAUUAGAUACCCUGGUAGUCCACGCCGUAAACGAUGAGUGCUAAGUGUUAGGGGGUUUUCCGCCCCCCUUAGUGCUGCAGCUAACGCAUUAAGCACUCCGCCCUGGGAGUACGGCCGCAAGGCUG